Molecule: long non-coding RNA, 44047 nt
Filed under: Lactuca sativa (garden lettuce)
Lineage: Eukaryota; Viridiplantae; Streptophyta; Magnoliopsida; Asterales; Asteraceae
Description: long non-coding RNA (LSAT_LNC009707)
Source: RNAcentral
UUGAGUCCAACCGUUGUAGUGUGAGACCUCUCAUUCGAAGAAGCAUCUAGUUUUAGUGAUAUGUAAUGGUAUUCGCGAGCUAUUUACAGGAAGUUAGUAGGAGUUCCUUCUGCAGCUGAUGGCGGAGAGUGGCAUUGAGUUUUUCGUAGAAGGUUAGCUUUUAAAUCUAUUGUGCAGCUCUUGUAUGAGUCUAACCGUUGUAGUGUGAGACCUCUCAUUCAAAGAAUUAUCUAGUCUUAGUGAUAUGUAAUGGUAUUCGCAAGCUAUUUAGAGGAAGUUAGUAGGAGCUCGUUCUACAGCUGAUGGCGGAGAGUGGCAUUGAGUUUUCCAUAGGAAAACUUAGGAUGAGAUUUAGUGUUGGGAGCCUUAUCUGUGAGGGAAAAUUAUAUGAAUUUAGAUUAACUUGGUUGAGUCAAAGCAAUUCUUGAGGAAAGUACGGAUAGAUGUGGAAGGUAGUAUGGGACCGUACUACUGGAAGCAGAGGAUCCGUACUCGAUUCAAGGAGAGUUGCGAUGAAAUCAGGGAUCUUUUAGGGUUGUGAUUCCUCGGUAUAUUUCGAUACAUAUUCUGUUGGUUUUAUGGUAUAUUUUUAGUAUGGUGGAAUUGCGAGGCAGACGAGUGGGUAGUUCAGGUGCUGAGGAGGGUUCAGGCUCAGGACAAAAGGUCGUCUUAUUCAAAACACCAAUUAUGACAUCCCCUCUCUCCCACUUCACACCUCGGAACGCGCCGUUCUUAUAGAGAUAAAGGCGUUAUGGAGCCGGGAAACUCGAUGAGCAGACGAGGGAGUUUCUCUUUUCCGAGAUUACUCGUUGCAUUCUCGAUCAGACUCCUGUGAUCUUAGGCUUGGUCAAGGAGGGUAUCUUGGAGGUCUUGGAGGAGCGAUUGAGCUCAUAUUGUUUUGAGAUGAUGACUAUAGUAGGAGCUCGAUCUUUGACAUUCAGGGAGUUACGGGCUUGUGGAGCUCCAGACUAUCACGGGGAGAAGGACCCUAUUCCGAGUAGGCGUUGGUUAGUAGAUGUUGCUAACGCUUUCCACACCAUUCGGUGUCCCAAGGGGGACAAGGUCAUCUUAGAGUCCUGCCUUUUGAAGGACAAGGCUCGGGACUGGUGGGAGAAGGUUGGUCUAGCUGUGUGUGAUGAUGAUGUUAAUGGGAUGACCUGGGAUGAUUGAGCUAACUUUGCGUCGGUUAUUGAGGUGCAUCAGCUAGCGUGGGAGUUCUAGGAUCCCUGCUAAAGUACUGAGACAGUGUCUGAGAUCACCACAAUGUUCAGGGAGAGGGCGCUUAUGGUUCUACAGUAUGUGGAAGACGAGGAGAUGAAGAAGGCCCGAUAUCAUGAGGUGUUGAGGAGUGACAUUGGGCAUUUUGUGAGCCGAUCCAUCUACAAGACGGUGGAGGAUAUGAUAGCUCGAGCCACAGAGAGGGAGAUCGUCCUCUAGAUGUAGAGGAAGAGGAAGCCAGAUGAGGUUCAGUAAGCGGGGGCUUUGGGCAAGAGGCCCAAGGUAUCGUAUUUUAGAUCAAGGGGUGAUGAGGGUGGUAGCCGAUGUGGCAUGUGUGGCAGGACGCAUAAGGGCUCAUGCAGAAGUGGUAGUGGUGUUGGUUCUGGUUGCUUCAAGUGCGGCCGGACAGGUCAUUAUAGCAUGGAUUGUACUACUACUACCACCCAAGGAUCAGAUCUGAUUUUUUUGUGAAGGAUAAGGAUGGGUCUCAUGCAUGUGUAUCGACUACCGAAAGUAGAAUAAGGUAACGGUGAAGAGCCGUUAUCCACUCCCGAUGAUUAUUGAUCUUUUCGAACAGCUUCUGGGUGCAUCUUGGUUUUCCAAGAUUGAGUUGUGAUUGGGUUAUUUUCAGAUGCGGAUCAGGGAUGAAGAUGUGUAGAAGAUAGCUGACGGGACUUGUUAUGGUCAUUAUGAGUUCGUGGUGAUGCCUUUCGGGCUCACCAAUACUCCAGCCGCAUUCAUGGAUCUCAUGAACCGCGCGUGCAGACCGAUGUUGAAUUGGUCUGUGAUAGUAUUUAUCGAUGAUAUCUUGGUUUAUUCCGAGACUCUGGAGCAACAUGAGGAUCACUUAAGGGAAGUGCUUGAGACAUUGUGGAGGGAGAGACUUUUUGCAAAGUUUCCCAAGUGCGAGUUCUGGUUGCACGAGGUGCGGUUUCUGGGGCACCUUGUUAACCAGAAGGGUAUUCUAGUUGAUUCGGCCAAAGUCGAGGUCGUGAUGUAGUGGGAGGUUCCGAGAUCUCCAUCUGAGAUUCGGAGUUUUCUUGGCGUAGCUGGUUACUAUCGGAGAUUCAUCAAGGAUUUCUCCAAGAUCGCUGUUCCAUUGACUCGACUGACCAAGAAGUCGGUGAUAUUUUGUUGGGGGCCUAAGCAGUAGGCAACUUUUGUUAGACCCCUAAACCGGAAUGGCGGAAAAGUUCGGGGAUGGAGAACGUCAUGCGUAGUAUCACAACAAUUGUAUCAUAGCAAUCAUAGUAAACACAACCAUUACAUUGAAUACAUAUAUGAAAAAGGUUUACAUCUCUUUAAUGCUUGUUUUUGUACAUCAAAAGUAUAAUCAAAAUAAAAAGACGGGCCUCUAUACGCUCCGUCUUCCCAAAACUCCAAAAUGUACCUAUCUACUGAUUUCCUGAGAAUACAAGCAGUUUUGAAAGAGUAUCAGCAUAAAGCUCAUGAUUUCAUAAGCGAUGUUUUCGUAAUGAAAACCUAUUAAUGACUCUUUAAAAAUGUUCACAUGUUUUCCAAGAAAAUCCAAUAUUUUCAUUAGUAAAAGUAUGGUAAUAACAGUUCCUUCUAUAACCACUUAGUUCAUGCUAGUCAUGUAUAAACCAAUAUCGAACAGACAGUUGGUUAUAUGGAUCUGCCCUAAGCCCACAACCAAACAAGGAACAUGAAAUAAGUCGGAAACCACAUAUCCCACAAUCUAUCGAGUAUUCUUCAUACGUAACCCUGAUGCAUAAACUAAAGAGUUAUAGAACUAACUAUGAAUUUUUGUUAUUAUAUCCGGUUGUAGUAUAUAAAACAUAUUAGUUUGUAUGCUUGAUUACUACUAGAUGUAUUGUAUGAUGAAUUCUGUAUGAAAACCUCUGUGUGGAAUGUUCUGUUUGAAAACCCUGACUACCACCAGUAUGUAUAGUAGUUUUCUUAUUUAAAUAAAGCCGUGUAUGGUAUUUCUAAAAUCCCCAAAUGUAAUGUAUAAUAGUUAUAUUAAUUAAAAUAAAACUAAUGAAGAAUGAAUUCUCAUAAACAAAGGUUGGUUUAUACUUAUUGUGAGUCGUAUAACCAUGUUUGAUAUGACCUAGUGACCUUUACGACGUUCUUCAAGUGUCGGUAAAAUGACAUUUGUCACCUCAGGCGUGCCUGCCUAAACUGUAGCUAGCAGUUUAGGUGUGGGAUUGUCGAUCCCAAAUAGAUUUAUUAACAAAUCUCACGCUCUCCCUCCAGGAGACUCUGUUUAUACUAUGAUAGGAUUUAAUUCAGUACACCUAAGGGUACGGUUUUGAAGUAGAGCCUCACAAUUCUGUAUAAUCUAGUUUACAUGUAAUUAUGUAUUGUUCUCUUGUAUUUGAAUCCCUUGGAUACUGUAUAAGGUAAUAAUUAUACUUAAAUAAUUAUGAAUUGUUAUACUCUUGUAGUAAUGUAUAUCAUAAACUAAAUCUGUCAUAGUUUAUAUGUUUAGCAGUGCAUAACUCUGAAUUCGUAAAAGUUGUGUAUUGAAAACCCCAAACUAUACCUAUUAUAGUUUACUUGAAAUGUUAUGUCCUUGUUAUGUAUAAUGUUCCGAAAACUAUGCAGUUAUGUUUCUAAGUGGAAAGUGUCUCUUAUGCUCCACAUAAUACAAAAGGGAUAAAAUAUCUAAAUAUUUUGUAAAAUGUGGAAAUCGUUUGACUGUAUAAAUUGCAUAAGUUUUAAGUUUGUUAAAAUCCUUUGUUUUGUUCCAAAAAAAUCAUUUUCGUUUGGCUUGUAUUCCCCCUGAAAACAUUAAAAAUGAUAAAAGCAUAGGGGUAUGAACUCACUGUUGUUGUAUGAAAACGUCGACUGGAAAUGAAGAUCCUCGGGUUGUUGUACGUGGCACUUAACGGCAUCCUAAUAUCAAUAAAUACAUAUAUGCAUCUAAAUUAGCGAUUUCGUUAGGUUAAGUGUUAGAAAAACACUUGUUUUCAGUUAAGGAAUAUUAUCGGGACUUGAUUGAAUCCAGAAAACGAGUUUUUCACAGCUUAAUAGGUGUGUACGGCCGUGAACAGGGGUGUACGGCCGGACAGGCAGUGUACGGCCGUAAACACGGUGUACGGUCGAGAACUCUUCUUUGAGGGGUGUACAACCGUAUACUCAAGAACAAGGGUGUUUGAUUGCGAAGAAAAUGUGUUCCAGAUGCUCCCAAUCGAUUCCAAAUGACGAUUUUUGAUGUUUUUCGGAAGAAAAGAGGUGUCUUUAGAGUGUACGGUCAGAAGUUCUAAAGAGAGAAUGAGAGAGUUUUCAGACAAAAGUUUUCAAAUGAGGAUGGGGGUCCUGUAUUUAUAGGUUGGGGGUAUGGUCGAUGGUGGGGUCCACCUGGCACCAACCAUGAACGGGUGUGCGGCCGUACACAUGUGUGUAGCCAUACACUCACUUAGGCCAAAAACUGUUUUAUUUUUCAAGGAGUUUGGGUUUUCGCGUGAUUUGUUUCCGAAUCGCUUAUAUAAAUUUAAUUAUAUAAAACUAGAUGAUUUCCUAAACCAUGAAUUUUUGACGGAAACUUAAUAAUAAUCAAAUUUUAUUAACGGAAUUAGGAUAAUGGAAACGGAAAAAGGUUCGGGUUGUCACAAUCUUCGUCCUGGUUAUUGGUGGCCCUGCAUGAAGCGGGAUGUAGCAUCGUAUGUGGAGCGGUGCUUGACUUUCAGAAAGGUCAAGGCCGAGCAUCAGCGACCUCACAUUAAGAUGCAUCCGUUGUAGAUUCCCAUAUGGAAAUGGGAAGACAUCACUAUGGAUUUUAUCAUGAAGCUUCCCAGGACUGAGCGCGGAGUGGAUUCGAUAUGGAUCAUUGUGGAUCGAUUGACAAAGAGCUCACAUUUCAUUCAAAUUCAGGAGAGUAUUUUUGCAGAAAAUUUGGCUGAACUUUUUAUCAGGGAGGUAGUGGCACAUCAUGGGGUGCUGGUAUCGGUAGUUCCAGACAUGGAUGUUCAUUUUACUUCCAGAUUUUGGAAGCAGUUUAACGAUGAGUUGGGCACUCGUCUCCUUUUUAGUACAUCAUUUCAUCCGCAAAUCGAUGAUCAGAGUGAGCGGAAUAUUCAGACUCUUGAGGAUAUGUUGCAUGCUUGUGUGUUGGAUUUUGGUGGGAGUUGGGAUACGUAUCUUCCGUUAGCGGAAUUUUCGUAUAACAACAAUUAUCAUUUAUCAAACUCCUUUUUAGAUGCUCUAUGGGAGGAACUGCAGGACCCCGAUUUGUUGGGGUGACGUAGGUUAGCGAGUUAUGAGGAGUACUGAGGUGGUACUCAAGACCACUGAGCUUAUUCAGUAGGUUCGGAGCAGGCUCGAGACAACUCAGAGUCAGCAGAAGAGCUAUGUCGAUAGGUGCUGGUCAGACUUGGAGUUCCAGGUAAGAGAUAUGGUUCACCUGAAGGUGUCACCUUGGAAAGGUGUCAUUUUGUUCAGGAAGCGGGGCAAGUUGGCUCCCAGGUAUAUUGGUCCAUUCAUGGUUUUGGCUCGGGUGGGCCGGGUUACGUAUCAUCUUGAUCUUCUAGCCGAUCUCAGUAAGAUUCAUAGCACGUUUCAUGUCUCUCAGCAGCGUAAGUGUUUGGUAGAUGAUUCUGCAGUUGUACCAUUGGAGGAUAUUCAGGUGGAUGCCCGCCUGAAUUAUAUUGAGAGACCAGUGACGAUUUUGGAUCGCAAGACGAAAACCUUGAUUAACAAGGUUGUAGAGCUAGUGAAGGUGUAGUGGCAACACCACAAGGGGUCGUAAUGGAAUUGGGAGCUCGAGGAGGAGAAGAGAUACAUUAUCCAGAGUUGUUCAGGGCAACGGAAUUCAAGGACGAAGUCUGAUUCAAGUGGGGGAGAAUUGUAACACUUGAAUCUCGGUGAGUUUCUCUUUUUCCCUUGCAUUAUUUAAUUAGUCCCAUUUUGACCUUUGAGUUGUACGCAGGGCGUACAACUAGGUACGCUUAGCGUACAGGCAGUAAAGCGAGUACGUGGAGUGUACCAAGUGGUACGCUUAGUGUACUCAUGCGAGAGUAUUGAUCGGGGAUCCGGAGGCAUACAUUGGGCAUACACAAGCGUACAUGGGUUGUACGUAAAGACUUUGAAAACCCUAAUUUUUUGGGGUUGGCCACUAUUUAAUCAUCCUUAUGGACUUGAAACCCUCAUUUUAUCAGCCUCCUUGUCCUCCUUACCCUACACUCGAACCCUAAUUCCAUACUUGUGUGUUUUUGAGCUUAGAAGGCCAUUUUGAGGUGCAUUUUGGUGCUUUGAAGGAAGGUGGUCAUCAUUGAAGCUUCAUUAGAGGAUUGAAGGUUUAUAGAUCCAUAACCCUAUCCUUAUUUGGCACUCAUUUGAGGUAUAAUGUCUUGAAGUCGAUGCUUAUUAGCUUAGAUCUCUUUUGGUUUGGGUUUAUGGACCCUUUUGGCCCCAUUAAUGAAAUCUUAUGAGUUCAUAUCAUUUCUGAAUCUUAGAGUUGCCACUCUUGGUAUUAUUUUGGUCCUUGAGUCAUAAAUUUGCCAUUUUUGAGGCUUAGAUCUAUCCAUGCACGAGUUAGGGCCAUUUACAUGAAAGUAUAUUUUGAGUUUGGAAUUAUUUUGGGCAUGCAAAGUCACCAAGUCGGUGACUUUAUAGGUCUAGACAUUAAUUAGGACUCAGAUCUAUGAUUUGGACCUUUGGGCUAAGCAUUAAGUGCUUAAUGGUAAAAUUUGGCUUAAUAGAGUAGUACGAUGGGCUUACAAGUCUGUAUGCACAGCGUACAAGCUAUCAAGCUUGUGCACGCAACGUACAGCUAGGUACGCCCCACGUACUCAGUUAGAAUGGGCUUCACAUCUUUGGGCCUCCGCUUGGGCCAUUUCAUGUGUUAGGGUCAGUAUAGUGUUGCGUCUAUUGGGCUCGUUAGCUAGUCCAUGUUUAUCUCUGAUAUGGGCCUGUCCAUCCAUGAGUUUUGUAGGGUUUAAUAUAAAUAGAUGCUUGCAUGCAUUCUAGAAUAAGAGGAUUAGUAUUGAUUAGAAAAUUAUUGUGCAGCAAUAUCAUCGUUCUUAUUUUGUAACCCUAGAAUCCUCUACAGUGGAAGUUCUUAGUCGACCUCUGCUGAGGAUCGAGUAAUCUAAUCAUUCGACACAUUUUGAUUCAUACUUGUGUUUUGUUUACUGUUUUACGUUCAUCACCUUCCUAUUACAAAGAUCUAAUCGAUCAAAGAGUUAAUUCAUAACUCAUCAAUUGGUAUCAGAGCAGGAGGCUGUGUAAUUCAUACACAUCUUUUCUGUGAAAGGGUUUGCGAUUAGGGUUAUUCCACAUUAACUAAUACUUAUUGAGCCGUCAUUCCAUUAUUGACGUAACUCAGCAUUUAUUUGUUUUGCCCGAAUAUCAAAUAUUACAAGUCUGAUCUUUCAAACAGGUUAAAAUGAUCAAGCAUGGACGAGUCACAAUCUAAUCCCAUCAACAUCUCUAAUAGCAUUGGAUCGACGACGAAGAUUCCUAUUCUUUACACCCAGGAUUACGAAGUCUGGGCACAUCACUUUGAAGAUUAUGUAAUCGGAUCGGGAAGCAAUCGUUUCUGGACCAUUUGCUUACUCUGGAACGUCAAAAAUUAUUAAAACUCAGAAAGAGUACAAUGAUCUGUUAAAGGACGUAAAGGAUGUUGCUCAAGACGAAAAGGAAAAGUUUCAAUGCAACAUUAAAGCAUUGAGACUGAUUCGAUUCGCUCUGCAAUCAGAUACAUUCAGGCUAGUGAGUUCAUGCAGCACCGCUAAAGAAAUCUGGGAUAGGCUGCGAGAGCUAUACUCCACUGAUGAGGAUUUGGAGCAUUCUAUUCAGACCUUGCUUUUGUCUGAGUUUGGUGAAUUUAAGCAGAAUUCUGAUGAAACUGUUACUCAGACGUUCGAUCGCUUCAAUCAUCUUCUUAGCAAGAUGAUCAAACACGAUAUAGAAAGGAAGCUGAUUGAACAAAAAGUAACCUUUUUGAAUGGCCUUAGAUCCGAGUGGAGAGCGGUUGUGUCCACUGUUAAAGCUCAUGAGCAAUUUAAAUCUUAUUCGUUGGCAAAGCUGGUGGGGAUUCUGAAAUCCCAAGAAAAGAUUGUCUUGCAAGAGAAAAAUGUGGUCUCCAGUUUAGGGUCCUUGGCCCUCUUGUCCAAAAGCAAAAGUGUGGUAGAAGAUGAAGAUCUCAACUUAGAAGAUUAUGAUCUUACUUCUGAAGACUAUGCAAUGAUGGUGUCGAAUCCAAAGAGGUUCAUUAAGAAAAGGUUCCCUACCAAUAAGAACCGAAAUUGGCAGGGAAGCUACAGUUCUGAAAAGGUUAGGGAGGAACCGAAGACAGAGGAACCAAAGAAAGAGGCGAAAGUUGAAGGAGAUUCAGGUGUGAACUGCUACUACUGUGGAGGAAAGAACCACUAUGCCAAAGACUGCGUUCUAAAGAAAAUGGCAGAGAAGGAUGAGGAAAAAGAUGAAGAGGCCUUGUUGAUGAAAAAGCUGGAAGAGAUCAAGAGAAAGAAAGCUACUGCUAACCCUUCAAUGAAUGCUUUAAUUGUGCAGGGUUCGGCAGCGGAUGAUGAGUUCGGUGGCGUGCAGGUCUGGUCAACCGACUCAGAGGAUGAUGAGGUCAGGAAGCCAUCUCAUGGAAAGGCAUACGUUACAAGAGGUGAAGAAAGCGGUGGGAAGUGUUUGAUGGUGACAAAUGUAUCUCAAAUGAAGGGAUACAAUACAGAUGGUGGGAAUGAAGACACUAAGGAGCAAGAGGACCUAUGCUUCACAGCAAAACCUCUCAGGGUGCAGAUCAAUGAGCUUGAUGAAUUGAUCAAGAAGGUACAAUCUGUUUUUGUUUCAUUCAAAGUCCCACAAAAUUCGUAUGAAAAAGAAUUAAAAAGCUUAAAUUCAUGAAUCUCAAAUCAAGAUAGUAGUUUAACUCAAACACGGGUCACCAAUUCUAACUUAACUGACCAAAUAAGCAGGGUGUCAUCCAAGAGUGAGGAACGGAGGAUGUGGAUAGAGCUGAAGGAGUCGGAGCUGAUUAAAUCCAAAGAUGAAAACAUUUAUUUGCAAAGAGACAAUUUAAAACUUUUGAAACAANAAACAGAGAAAUGUUUUUUGUUUAAUUGCUAAACGUCUUUAUGCUAACAUCACUCAACUUCAUCUUAACUGUGAAAUAGGGCAGAAAAUUCAUCGCAUGAUUUUUCCCUUCCUUGAGUUUAAGGAGGAUGAAAUCGAUGCUGAAGCAUAUAAUUGCGAAAGUGUAGUUUCGUCUGAUGAUGUGAAUCCGACUUAUAUGUAUGGUCUGGACAAAAUCGAAUCUUUUAUAAAGUCCAAGGACCAUAAGGACAUGCUGAAAAACCUUUUGGAUGAAAACGAUAAACUGAAACUAAGGACCGAAACCAUACAAAAGUUUGACUCAUUGAAUGCCAACUUGAGCUCAGAAAAUAAAAUUGAUGUUGAAAACGCGUCUGAGCUCAAUGAGGAUGAUGAUAUGAGUGAAAUUUCUGUAGAGGAUGAAGUCGACUGUUCUGAGUUUGUCAAGAGCGAACCCGAAAACCACAAAAAUCUUAUUUCUGAAAAUUCUGUGGAGUUUGCUCGUUUGUCCCAAAAUAAGUCCCCGAUUCUUGAAGAAAAGGCCGUUGUGUACCAAAAGGUGAGAACAACACCAAAUCAGGUGUAUAAGGUCACAGGAGUAACCGAACAUCAGACAGCCGAACUCACCGCCAUAGUAAACGAAGAUAAUGCAGAUGGCUGUGAUGAGUUUUUCUGGUCUGCUCCUAUAGAUAAUGCUGACGAAACCGUUGGUCUGUCAGAGCGAACGUCCUGGAAAACCAAAGGCAGAUAUGUGCCAGAGCCACUAAACAAGCCUGACAACUUCGAUGUGCCAAGUACUAGUGGUACAAAAGAAGUUCCUGUAGAAGAAGUCACUCCUACAAGCGAAACAUCAUCUGUUAAAAGUGAACCGGCUGACAGGAAGCAAAAGCAAAAAGCCAACAUCCACCGACAGCCAAAGCAAGUGAAGGAUCAAAAGCAGCAAAGGAAUCUGAGAUACAAAAAGAAUCUCUCAGAGCGAAAACAGUUUUGGCGAUCUCAAAACGCCCAUUUCUCUUAUCAUGACAAAAAUUCAAAGUCAGAGAAAAGUGCUGUCAGGCCGCAAGAAAGUAAUAACAACCGAAAGGACAGGUUCGGUUCUGAAAGGAAUAACAACCGAAGGGAAAGGUUCGGUUCAGAGAACACCAGCUACCGAAAGCAUAGGUUCGGUUCCGAGAGCAAAAGCUAUCAAGGUUCAAGGUUCGGUCCCACUAAUGACCAAAAACAAAAGGGUCACUUAGAACCUCAAGUCAAGAAAACUUCUCAGUCUAAAUUCUCUCGUUCUAAUUCUUCUCAACCCCAUUCUAAAUCCAAUUCUGUUCAAACUCAAAAUCCAAAAUCUUCAACAGAUUUGAAAGGAAAAUCGAAGGUUUCCUCAGUCAAGAAUGAUCAAAAGCAUUCCAAGGCCCAAACGCCUGAACCUGAAUCCAAACCGACUGUAACAAAUCCUAACAAAAUUAAAGUUUUCACUAUUAAGAAGAAAGAUGAAACAACUUUAAUAAAAAGAACAUAUCUUGUUGACAUUUCUCUUACUAUUCCUGUUCCUGUGAAAGGCUCACGUGGACCCAAGAAACUUUGGGUUCCUAAAUCUGCUUGAUUUUUGCAGGUUAUCAGUGACGAGCAGUUCGACGAAGAAUGGUAUAUUGACAGUGGCUGCUCACGUCACAUGACAGGAAGGAAGGAAGAGCUGAGGGAAUUUCGAUCUCUUCCAAACGGCGGGAAUGUCAAGUUCGGGAACAACUCAUAUGGCACGAUAAAAGGUUAUGGGAUGAUAACAAAUGGAGACUUCACGAUUAGAAAGGUUGCAUACGUUGAAGGACUACAGCAUAACCUCAUCAGUGUAUCUCAGCUUGUUGGAGGUACCGGUCUUAAAGUUUCAUUUGACGAUGAGGGUUCGGAAAUAAUAGAGAAGAAAACAAAAAGAGUGAUUCUCAAAUCAGAGCGCAAAGGCGAAAUGUUUCCUCUCAAUCUCAAACCUAUCAAAGGAAAUCCAGCUAUCUGUCUGUUAUCCAAAGCACAUUCUGACGAAAGCUGGCUGUGGCACCGAAGGCUCUCCCAUCUCAAUUUCAAGGAUAUCAACAAACUUGUCACAGGAGGUCAUGUUCGGGGUCUUCCAUUGCUCAAGUUUGAUCGAGAACAUUUGUGUGCUGCAUGUGAAAUGGGGAAGCAGAGUCGUCAAAGUCACCCAUCCAUAAUAAACACUAAAGUCGUUGAACCACUUGAGUUAAUUCACAUUGACUUAUGUGGUCCAUCUUCUAUCGAAAGCAUUGGCGGUAGCAAGUAUAUUCUUGUUAUUGUUGAUGACUUUUCACGUUUUACAUGGGUGUUCUUUCUGAAGCACAAAUCUGAGGCAACUCUCAAGCUAAAGAUGUUUAUCAAGCAGGUUGAAGUGCAGCUGAGGAAAGUCGUUCGCAACAUCAGAAGCGACAAUGGGCUGGAGUUCAAGAAUAAAGAAUUUGAAGACUUUUUAGCAGAAAAAGGAACCAGUCACAACUUCUCAGCUCCCUACACCCCUCAACAAAAUGGGAUUGUCGAAAGACGAAACCGAUCUUUGUGUGAGGCGGCCCGAACCAUGCUAAGUUUCGCUUCUCUACCUCUAUAUUUCUGGGCUGAUGCUAUUGCUGCAGCAUGUUUUACGCAGAACAGGUCCUAUCUCAAUAAGCGUUUCACUCUUACUCCUUAUGAGAUCAUCAACAACAGAAAGCCAAACGUCAAAUUCUUCCACGUAUUCGGCUCACGAUGCUUUAUCUUCAAUUCUAAAGAACAUCGUAACAAGUUCGACGUAAAAGCCGAUGAAGGGAUUUUUCUGGGAUAUUCUCUCACUUCGAAAGCAUACAGGGUUUUAAACAAGCAUUCGAGGAAGAUUGAAGAAACGUAUUAUGUGACUUUCGAUGACAGCUAUGUCAAGAAGCUGAAGGCCACGGAAGAAUCAGUUGGAGAAAUCUUCUCUCAAACAGGCCAAGUCACAGCCUCGAUUGCAAAUUUGUUUGAGCAAUUUGUGGAGUUAUUUGAUGAACCGGAGAAGGCUACUCUCUCAGAAGCCAAUGCAGCAGACAACAAAGUUGACCAUUUGAAGCAAAUUGUCGAUGACGCUGCCAAACGACUGGGUGAAGGAGAAUCAGUUCCAAAUGAACCUUCUCAGCACGGUGCUUCAGUUGAGGGGGAGAAUCCAUCUUCUUCAAAACAGCCAAGUUCACAAGUUGAGGGGGAGAACUCUUCUCCAGCUGCACCCGAAAGCUCUACUGCACCCGAAGGUACUGUAGCUCCCGAAAUCUCAAUGCACCCGAAACUCAUGUAGCACCGGAAGGUCAAGACACACCUGAAAGCUCAUCAGUCAAGGGGGAGAAUGCCGAUAUGUUUUAUGACGAUGACAGUUAAUCUGAAUUAGAAGAGAUGGUAAAUGCUGAAUUGGAUCCAUCCUAUGAUCCAAAUUACCCUCCUCUUGUCAAAUGGACUAGAGAUCAUCCUGUUUCACAGGUUGUGGGUAAUGUCUCUGAAAAGGUCUUGACCCGAUCUCAACUGAAGGCAAAACAAACUUCUUUAUUCUCAAAAGUAGAGUUCUGCAUGUUUAACUCUUUCGUCUCAAAAGUUGAACCUAAGACAGUAACACUGCUCUUGAUCAUUCUGAUUGGGUUCAAGCUAUGCAAGACGAACUUAAUGAGUUCGAAAGAAAUAAGGUUUCACACCUCAUUCCAACUCCUAAAGAUACCUCGAUUGUUGGUCUCAAAUGGGUCUUCAGAAAUAAAAUGGACAAGGAAGGCAAUGUAAUAAGAAACAAAGCUCGUCUAGUGGUGAAAGGAUACUGCCAGGAGGAAGGAAUCGAUUAUGAGGAAACUUUUGCUCCUGUAGCUAGGCUGGAAUCUGUUCGAAUAUUUCUUGCCUAUGCUGCACACAAGAACUUUGAGGUCUACCAAAUGGACGUAAAGUGCGCAUUUCUAAAUGGAGAACUUGAAGAAACGGUGUACGUGGAGCAACCUCCGGGAUUCGUCAAUGAAAAGUACCCCAAUCACUGCUAUAUUCUGGACAAAGCGGUUUAUGGGCUGAAACAAGCACCUAGGGCCUGGUAUGAAACGCUAACCAAGUUUUUAAAGAUGUCCAAAUUCAAACAAGGUUCGGUUGACCCAACCUUCUUUCGUAAGAAGGAAGGUAACCACCUUAUGAUUGUUCAAAUCUAUGUCGAUGAUAUCAUCUUUGGCUCAACGAAUCCUAGCUUAACAGCUGAAUUCAGAAAGCUGAUGGAGACUAAAUUUGAAAUGAGCUCAAUGGGUCCGAUUAACUUUUUCCUUGGUUUAAAUAUUAGACAGGGACCCGAAGGCAUCUUUAUUAACCAGGAAGCCUACACCAAGACUCUCCUUGCUAAAUUCGGCAUGAUGGGAGACUCAAAGGUUAAAGUUCCAAUGGCGUUCGGCACCAAGCUCACUCCAUCCUUGGAUAAGCCAGCAGUCGAUAUUACGCUAUAUCGCCAGAUGAUCGGUUCUUUAAUGUACCUUACUGCUAGCAGGCCUGAUAUAAUGUUUUCUGUUUGUUACUGUGCUAGAUUUCAGGCGAAUCCUCGUGAACCUCAUAUGCUUGCAGUGAAGAACAUACUCCGGUAUCUAAAACGAACUACCUCUCUCGGCUUAUGGUAUCCAUCAAACUCAGGUUUCUUCGUUCAAGCCUACUCAGAUGCAGACCUUGGAGGUUGUGGACUAGACAGGAAAAGCACCACUGGAGGCUGCCAAUUCCUUGACGGGAAGUUGGUUAGCUGGCAAUCAAAGAAACAGACUUGUGUAUCUCUGUCUACAGCUGAAGCAGAAUACAUCGCAGCUGCCUCCUGUACAUCUCAAGUGAUUUGGAUCCAAAGCCAGCUCCGGGACUAUGGACUCAAUANUAACCCAGUGCAACACUCCAAGACCAAGCACAUAGCACUGAGGUAUCACUUCAUUAAGGAUCAUGUGGAAGAUGGGAACGUCGAAAUUCAUUUUGUUCGAACCACUGAUCAACUGGCUGACAUCUUCACCAAAGCUCUUCCUGAAGCUUCUUUCAACAAAAUUCUACAAGGGCUAGGAAUGAUGGAAUCGGAGUCAGUACCAAAAAUUACCUCUCAAGAUCAAAAGUAAGAAGCGAAAUAGACCGAACGUUCGGGUUCGGGUCUCUUGUAUGCCGAAAUGGACCGAACGCUCAGGUUCGGGUCUUGCUCUGGUGUACUGAAAUAGACCGAACGCUCGGGUUCGGUUGUAUCAUCUGAUCUUCGCUUAUCACUCAAAGGUAGUUUCCUUGGUUGUAAAUCUUUUGUAUUAUUUUUCCAAAUUCAUUUAUCUUAUUGUCAAAGUUCUUUUCUUUUUCAAUCUUAUUUUUUUGGCAACCGAAAUAGACCGAACGUUCGGGUUCGGUUCCAAAAUUUUUCUCACCCGAAAUAGACCGAACGCUCGGGUUCGGUUCCAAAAUUUUCUCAACCGAAAUAGACCGAACGCUCGGGUUCGGUUCCAACUUUUUUUUUAUUCAUUUUUUUUUAUUUAUUUCGAUCAAAAAAUUCCAAAAAUAUUUUUUUUCUUUUUUUGUAAAUUCAAAAACUCCAAAAAUAUUUUUUACUUUUUUAAUUUUCGCUUUUAUCUUUUUGUAUGUCUUUUUGUGGGUAAAUUAUUUCACUAGAUAAGUGUCCGUAGAAGCAUGCUGCUGUAUGUGUCCAAAGCCUCAUCUAAUUCUGAAUAAAAGUCUUACUGACUUGGUACAAACAAACCUUGUCUUCCCAAUUAGGCUCUCACAUUUAUUCUAAUUAUGAGCUACCUAAUGCUCUUCUCACAUGAGAUAAGAGUUUUCUGCUUAGUCCCUAUUUUUCAUAGCAGAGGUACUUUGGGUUUCUUUACACCAUCUACAUUACUAUUCUCCAUCUCAUUCACUUCACAAACGUAACCCUUGAGACGCUCAGACAUUACCACUGAGGUUUAUGGUUACACAAUUUCUGUGUUCAUGAUCUUAGCUUCGUGUCACUACGUGCUAAGUGAAACCCACAAUUCAAUACCUACUAUGCAUUGACGGUGAACAAUUAAUUCGCUCUAGCUUUCACUAAUGAAUUGACGGACUUAUCCAUGGGGGUACCACAUGAAAUCUCUAUUUUUCUUUUGAAUGAUUCCUAUGAAAUUGUUAAAUCCAAUAACAUUUCUUCCCUUGGGAUCCAAUUUUAAAUUUUUUUUUGUUGAUUUCACAUAUCUUAGUUUACCUUGCUACUUAAAAGAUCUCCAACCCCUGAAGUUCACUUCUCUACUUCUCCUAUCUCCACUCCACCAGUUACCAUUCCUAUUUCUAUUCCCCCCAUUUCCUCCACCACUCAAAUACCACCUACCUCCAUCCCAGUACCACCACCUAUAUUUACCGAAGCAACCACCACCACCACUGCAGAUGUUAGAACCAACGUAUCUGAUACGGGGGUUCAUACUAACGCACCAAAGUCCACUUCAGUACCCGAACCCACACCAACAACCGAACACACCACCCAACCCGAAACUACUACUAUUACUGAGCCUCCAGGUUACCACCACCAUCUUCUCCUGCUCAUGCAUCAGAGGAUGAAGAACCACUCCUUGGCGGGGAGGACAUGACCUUUGACUCGCUCUAUUACAGUCCAUUUCAAGUUCAGAGUGACGAUGAUGACGAUGCUCCUAUCACAAAGAGGCAUCUCAAGGAGCUACAUGACAAAAUCGAUUCGCUCAUCGCCUCAUCUUCCACAUCUUAGUCCUCCAUUUCUGAAGCUGCCAUUCAGAAAAUUGUUGAGGCUUUCUCCAAAGCUCAUCAAGUUUCUAUCGAUUCCGCCACUGCAGCUAUAGACGCCUCAACCAAAGCUUGUGAGGCAGCGACCGAAAAAGUCGAUAAACUAUUCACUAAUGCUUCUUUCUUGUUGAAAUCUUUACAGGAAAGUGCUGAAGCCACCAAGACUACGCUGGAACCCAUUAUCAACCAGUUGGCUACAUCAGUCGCUUCUGAGCUGAAGUCGUUCGCUUCGCUUCGUCAAACCAUCUCUGACGACAACUCAACUUUCAGAACCACCAUUGAGGAGCGUCUCUCCAAGCUUCAAGAAGACUUAGCUGCCGAGAACUCUCUCAUGGAUGCUCUCGCAAGGAAGACUACCGCUCUGAAGGUCAAGAGUACUCAACUCUCCAACUCUCAACAGGAGAUUGACUCUCUUCGAUCUGAAAGAGAGGUGGUUAAAUCGUGUGUUUCGGAUGUCCACUCAGCUAUCUCAAACAUCCUUGAAGCACAUGACCCGAUCCUCAAUUAUUCUGUGAGGCGUGACCUUGCAGAGAAGCUUGCUCCCGCCCUCUCUCUACUGAGCAAACUUGAAGGGCUCCUUGAUUUCGUGUCCAUUUUGAAACAAAGGGGAGAAAAAGUGAAUAUGUCUCAACCUCCUCCUACUUCAACUGCAACCGAACCUCCUCCAGUAGGCCAAGCCUCCGGUUCCGGUGUAAAAGACAAGGGCAAGAAGAUUGCUGAGGAGAGCGAUGAAGAUGAUAAGGAGACAAUUGCUGACCUUCUGAAACGACAAGGUCGAGAUAAAGAGGCUGACAUCAGUGCUCGUGUGGCUAGAGAGGCUGAAGAAGCCGAAAGAAGACAGAAAGAAGCCCACGACCUUCUCGAGAGCAGGAAAACUCUUUUUCCUCCUUGGACUCUUGAGAAGCUGAUUAAAGAAGCCAUCGAAACACCAAGUAUCUUGUGGCUAGAACCUGUGAUCUCUUUAGAUUGUUCUAACACUGUCGACUCUCAGUUCGAUAUGCCACUGACCCGAAAGGCGUUUGUUUUUCAUGCCUUUGACAACAUUGCUGAGUUCCCCCAUCCUCAUCCACAGGUUGAUCGGGACUUAGUCGAAUUUUAUCUGAGGGCAGCUCAACCACAAUACCAAACUUGGAGCGCUCAGAAAAUCAUCAAUGUUCGGGUCCUAAAGCCGUUCAGGGAAGGCAACUUCACCAACGUUCGGUUCAAGGUACUACGGGGAUCUGCCAAGGCCGAACAUGCCAUCUCACUUGCAGAUCUUCCCAACCUUAAUCCCCAUGACUGGAUUAUCUUGCACAACAUCCUUCUUACAAACGAAGCUGAAUAUGGUCCGAUCAUCGACCACUUUAAGAGGAUGCUUGUAUGCUAUGUCAUGGAAGUUGCUCUGAUGGAUCAGGAGAUAGUGAGCGUAUUCAAGAAGAAGCCCACCAUAUCUCCUGUUGGCUCUUCCAGUGAUCUCAACAUGAUGCAGAUGGGGAAGAUUGACCCAAAGAGAAACUCCGUCAUGUUCACUAGGAACGAAGGACAGAAAUGUCUUUUCGCCUUGGCAGACAAACAUCUCUACACCACUUCCUAUUUGGAACACGUUUUAGGGAUCAUCCAUCGAUGCAAGCAAAACACAGCGGAUGAUAUCAAGUACUUUGAUGAUAUGAUUCAAUGGUACAUUCGCUUCAGACAGACUAUCCUUGCACUUAUCUCACGUCUGUUUGAUACAACAAAGAAGGUUCCUGCUACUGGCCCAAGCAAGAAGAAACNAAUUGACGCAAAGGGGGAGAUUGUUAGGGUCAGUAUAGUGUUGCGUCUAUUGGGCUCGUUAGCUAAUCCAUGUUUAUCUCCAGUAUGGGCCUGUCCAUCCGUGAGUUUUGUAGGGUUUAAUAUAAAUAGAUGCUUGCAUGCAUUCUAGAAUAAGAGGAUUAGUAUUGAUUAGAAAAGUAUUGUUCAGCAAUAUCAUCGUUCUUAUUUUGUAACCCUAGAAUCCUCUACAGUGGAAGUUCUUAGUCGAGCUCUGCUGAGGAUCGAGUAAUCUAAUCAUUCGACACAUUUUGAUUCAUACUUGUGUUUUGUUUACUGUUUUACGUUCAUCACCUACCUGUUACAAAGAUCUAAUCGAUCAAACAGUUAAUUCAUAACUCAUCAUCAUGGACGUAAUUUCUUUGGGCCUUAAUGGGCCAUCUGAAAGCAGACUUUUGGACUAAGGAAAUUAUUGGGCUUUAAGGUAAGGCCCAUUGAAGGGGUUUGGGUCUAAUUUGAAAAAUUGGGCCAUAAGUGGGCCUUAGAAGAUUAGUUAGUGUUGGGCCUUUUUAUGUUGUGGAUUUGGGCCUUAGUCAUGGAUCAAAUUAGGCCAAGGGUAAAAUGGUCAUUUUACCCCAAGUAUGGAGUAUUAAAUUUUGAUUGGAACCCAAGUAUUGAUUGGGUGUUAUUUUUAUAUUGAUAGCUCGGGGGAGUUGUCAGGGCAACCGCUAGGGAUUUCUUUCUGUGAGAUUCAGCAUUUGAGGUGAGUUUCCUCACUGGGUUUAGCGGGUCUAAGGCACCAAUGUCGGCCCUUAUUGAUUAUUUUAGGAUGUUACGAGUCUACAUGACUCUUGUAUGUAUUAUGUGCUGUUAUGCGUAGUGGGAGGGCUCGAUGUCAGGUGAGGGUUGAGGACUGGAACAUAUUCUAAUGUUUAUGACUGCUUUAUGUGUUAGCAUGAUUAUGUGAUAUUGAUUGUAUGUGUAUAGCGGGCGAGGCCCAGUAACAAGCGAGGCCUGAGAAUAACAAAUCUGUAUACCGAGCGACGCUCGAUGCCGGGCAGUGCGUGAUGUUGGGCGAGGCCCGAUGUUUGGCGGGGGCCCGAUAUGUGAUUUAUUAUGUAUGGUAUGGGGUAGAAGAGCUCGGGUUGUGCUUACGGUUUUUAUUUUAUGUUUCAGAUACUUUUCGUUGCAAAUAGAAGACCUCGGGUUGACUGCUUCACACACACCAUUGGGAUUCCGCAUAUGAUAUUUUACUCUGAUUUUAUGACAUUUGAUACGUUGGUUUUGUUUGAGAUGUAUGGUUGAUAUUUGAAAAUACUAGUUUACCUAUUUUAAAAAUGAAAUUUUUGGGACCAUAUUUUGGGAUGUUACAAAUUAAAAAAGGAAAAAGAAAAUCAACUUCUUUUGCUGACUUUAGAGUAUGCAAAAUUGACAUUUCAAUCCAAUUACUUAUUACAUAUAUAAUCAAAACUAUAAAUAAUCUUUAUUCAUGCUUUAAAAACCAAAUAUCCACUACUAGAAAAAUAGCCUUUUACGACGCGCAAACCAUGACACUCAUUAAUUUAUGUUACGCAACCGAUAGUGACAUUAAAAACGUGUCAUCUAUUCAGAAAAUUUAAGGAUUUAGGUCACGCAUUAUUGUGCGCCCUUAAAUUAUUGUCAUAAGAAAAAAAAUUAAAAACACGGAGGGCGCUGUAUCUUAAAUGCGCGCCCUCUGGAGGUGUCGCUUUAUAAUUUUUAUGAACGCGCGUUCUUUAGUUACAAGCGGGAAAAGAAAAGCCGAAAAAAUUAGAAAAGCCCGCUAACUCUUUGACCUAAGCGUUUUGACGCAUCUUUCAUUCUCCUCACACUGCUGUGCAACCUUUUCCAAGGUAACGAUUUCAUCUCCAUCUCUCGACUUCAUCAUCUCAAUGAAGAAAAAAGGCUUCUGAUUUCCAUUAUCUGCUUCAUCUCUGCUGUGAUUUCACCUGCUUCAUCUCUUCUGUUCUUGAGAAUACUCGCCAACAGUGUUCUUCCACUAUUCCUUGACCUGCUUCUUUCUGUAUUCUUUUAUCCACAAUGUCUUCAAAGACAUUCUCACACACUUUCUAAAAAAAUCAUUUUUUCUCUCUCAAGAACCCUAGCCGUCACUCACACCACCAUAUUUGUAGUGUGUUCUGUUCAGAUAUAUAUGCAUCGAUGAAACAAGGAACCUUGAUAUGGAAGGCCACCCAAGUAUUAACUCUUCAAGAUUCAGGCCCCUGACACCCCAUUUACAUCAGACUACCAACACCACCGCAAACAAUGGAUGUUGGUGGUUUGGUCUCACACCUUCUUUACUGUGGGAUACAGAUCCUAACCAUCUGACCUCCCUCUCUCUCUCUCUCAUGACGAAGAACACAAUUUGAAGGAUUAUCAAUCAAGAAUGAUUGGUUAUGGUUAUGAUUUAAAAGGCAAACUGAAUAUAUCAGUCGAUAUCGAUGGAGGGUUUGCGAAAACCAAGGUAAUAAUUUUGAUUUGCUUUUAGUUGGUGUUUCUCUUACUGGUACCCUUCUUUCACAUUCUCAAAUUAUGUGUUCUUCUGUGUGGAUUUGUUUGAAAUUUGAAAGAAAGUUUUAUGAAGCACUCCAACUGCUCGAUGAAAUGCUUGAACCAGGUUUUUGGAUUCAUUCCAGUCAGUUAUUAGAUCAUGCAUUACUACAUUUAAUCUCAAUUUAGUUGUGGAUUUUGUUGACUUAAUCUAUGUUAUGAGCAUAUUGGAUCAUAUUUAAAUUAUUAUGUUAUUGAAUACAUGCUAAACUUCAAUGUAUGUAUAGCCCAUAUAAAGUUUAAGAGAUAGACGGUUAUAUGCAACUUCAUUGAACAAAGAAGAGUUACAAAUGGUUAUGUCAAAUUGACUAUAGUCAUAGUAAAAGAGAUUUGAUUUUGAUGUGAUUUUUUUAAUAAGGAGCCUCUAAAUAAAUGUGAAAAUUUAAGGACUAGGAAAUAGGACAACCCGGGUUAAAUUAUAUAAAUUGUAACAGAAUCCUCAUAUGAUAUUCUCCUUCCUAUAGACUCGCACCUAUUUUGUCACCUGCCUCAUGGUAUCAUAUCCAGAGAGCUAAAGUAGCAUUUAUAUAUUGGCAGUAAACUCGAAUCGAUAACAUAGAUUUUGAAACCGAAAUUCGUUUACUCAUAACUACAUAUUUUGAAAACCCCUGGAGUAUGAUUGGAAUUGUUCCGUUGUUAAUAUCUACGAGUCUAUCUAAUUUCCCAGGAGAAGGUCGCGAAUCCAUUGUUCGAGAAACGACCAAAGCAAUUUGGAAUCGGUGGAGCUUUGCCUCCUAAGAAGGAUCUUCACAGAUUCGUAAGAUGGCCUCAAGUCGUCCGAAUUCAGAGAAAGAGGAGAAUCCUCAAGCAGCGUUUGAAGGUCCCACCAGCAUUGAACCAGUUUACCAAAACCCUUGACAAGAAUCUCGGUAUAAUGCUCAUCCUUAACAAUAAUUUUGUUCUAAUUCCAACUAUGUUCUUACUCCUUUUACAAUCCACCGAGUUUCAUCAAACUGAUAGACAAAUCUCUGUUUAUGAAAUUAUGAAGCAACGACUUUGUUCAAGAUGCUACUCAAGUACAGGCCGGAAGACAAAGCAGCCAAAAAGGAACGCCUGUUGAAGAGAGCUCAAGCUGAAUCAGAAGGAAAGACUGUUGAAGCUAAGAAACCCAUUGUUGUGAAGUAUGGUCUUAACCAUAUUACCUACCUUAUCGAGCAGGUUUUUCUCAUUUACACUCACUGUAAUCUUCUAUUUCUUUUUCUUCUAAAGUGCUUAAUGACAUAUUAUGUUCCAUUUCAGAACAAGGCACAAUUGGUGAUCAUUGCCCAUGAUGUUGAUCCAAUUGAAUUGGUUGUCUGGCUUCCUGCACUCUGCAGAAAGAUGGAAAUCCCUUACUGCAUUGUAAAGGGGAAAUCUCGUUUAGGAACUGUAAGUUUUUCCCUUAUCAUACUUUUUACUUUUUUUUUUCUUCUCAUUUUCAGUUGUGAGUGACAAUUCUUUUUGUAUUACCUUUAUGGCUAUUUUCUGUUUUUUAGGAAAAGAAUACGGUCUUUUCCAGAGAGCUUCUUGUCACCUCUUGAUUUGGUUGUUGUUCCAGGAGACAAUAAGAUGACGUCGCUCCUCACCACCUCCUGCUGAUGCCACACAUUUUCUCUUUACUACUUGCCAAACUUCAAAGUUUCUUUCAUCAUAUCACAUGAACCAUUAGAAAAUUAAUUUGAAGGCCUGUAGCCAUCUCUCUCUCUCUCUCUCUCUCUCUUCACCCUUUUCUCCCGAUUUUUUUGGGUCCAAUAUUUCUUUGUUCAUCGUCAUUGCUGCUUGUUACCUAUCUAUGGCCACCAUGAAAUAUUGAAUAAACCAAUUUUUAUUUAAUUUGGUUGAAUACAGGUAGUUGUUUCAUUCGAAAUUUGGAUCUUUUUAUCUUCCUUUGUUUAGGUUAUAAUCCAGUUGGGUUGUAUCCAGUAUAUAAGUUUAUGGCUUGUUAUAUGUCAGUAGUUAUAUAUGAUAGUUAUAAUUCUGACCUUACCAUGUUCAAAUACUGGGCUUAUCCCUUUUGUAUUAUGUAUCUUCAAUUCGGUUUAUUCUUUGUAAUAUAGCCUUUCUAGAUUUUGUAAUUUUCUAACUGGAGUAAAUUAUUUUUGUAUUGUUUUAAGCAGAACUUUGUGUUUAAACACUAAUUCCAAUGGGUUAUUGCUGGUUGCUGUUCAGGCAGACAUCAAGCUUCUCCACCAGCCUUGCCAGCAACAGUUACCUUCUGUGUCCCUGAGUACCUGUACAAGAAUGACAACCUUACAUCUUGAUUGACAACCUUACCCUUGAUGCACCCUUUAACUUCUCUGCUAUGGAAGGGCAGUAUCAUAAUUAUGUUUAUGGGCAUGAAUAUUACAUAUUUUUCUUUUCUUAUCUCAGGCCAAAUGACUUUCAUGAUUUUGCAGAGUAUUUUGUACAAAUAAGGUGGAGGUGGAGGUGCUGCAGCAGUAUUUUGCAGAGUAUUUGCUAAUAUUUAUCACCCGCCUCAACCGAUAACCACUGGUGCAGUUGACCCAUUGGCUGGUGGUGGACCGGGUAGUGUGGACAUUGUGGGACCUGCAGCAGUAGCUAGUGUCUAUCAGCAGCAACAACCCCAACCAACUCAAAUCAACUGGCCUAACAACUACUAAAGUAACAAACUUCAACAAUCAAAACCCAAAACCCAAAAAGGUAUGAAUGGAUGGAAUUGGAUUAUUAGGGAUUUGAGUUGAGUGUAUACUUAGAUGAGUACUUAUAUACUUAGAUGAUGCAGGGAAGACACUUUCAAUAGGCUGCAAGUUAGUAUAUUUGACAUCCAUAACCUUGCACUCUUGGCAUGUGGAAGCUCAUGAGUUUCUAUUAAUGUAUAAACAGGGGUGCAAUUUGCAUUUGGUCUGCUUCAUAUAGGUUCUGGAGUUAGAUGGACUCUUGUGGAUUUUCUUCGAGGCCAUGGUGAUGAACAAAUAAGUGCACUCUCAUGGAGUCCUGAUGGAAGAUUCCUAAGUAGCUUUUGUUUUGCUUGCAUGCUGCUUUUCUUAUUCAGUGCUACUUUGAUCUAUUUUGAAAUGUUGAUUUUUAGAGUCUUUUUGCAUGACCAAAUUUAAUAUCCAGUUAUAUUAUAAUGCUUCCCUUAACAUAUCUUCACAUAUGUACCAUCUGCUUCAUAUGAGAGCUCAUCGUUCACAAUGUGGGAUUUUGCUCAAGGUAUAUUCUUAUGCAUGUUGAGUUUUUCAAUAUACCCUAGAAAAGUUAAUCAUAACUAUGCUCUUGUUGUUUUUUUUAAAAGGAAGUUAAAGGCGUAUUUCUAUAAUAAAUAUAUUGUUCUUGCAGUGGGAAUUCUAUUGUUGCUGAGCUACAUGGUGAAGUUGGGUGGCCAGGUAAGCACUUGAUGUUUUAUUCUAGAAAAAGAAAUGUUUAUGCAUACAUACAUACAUACAUACAUACAUACAUACAUACAUAAAUACAUACAAUAAAAAUGUCAAAACAAAGCUAGAGGCUUAUUCUUUAAAUUUACAUAUGCAGAUAAAUCUGUUACUUGAUCAUCAAAGUUUUUUCAAACAUCAAAACCGUGUUGAUUCAAAACACCUUCCAAAUCCCACCUCUUUCAUUUGUAUAUUUGUUUUUUUUGAAGCAUCUUCUAGCUAUGGUGAACCAAAAUACACUCAAGGAGAAAACAUCUAGUGGUAUGCAGGGUGUAAACAACGAAUGGUGCACACUUCUUCACCUUCUUGGCUGUUGUCUUCUUUCACAAGCACAUCUUCAAUCAUCAUGGGGUUCUAUUGAAAAGAAAGUUAAUGAAGCCAUUUCUUGCUUUUUUUAGGUAUGUGUUAUGUGACAUAUCAUCCACUAAUGUAUCAUUUAUCAUUCAGCAUCUUUUACUUUGAUGGGUAUAGAUACAGAAGGGUAAAAUGGUCAUUUACUUGCAUUCAAACAGUUUAUUCAUUUAGUAAAAAAAGGGACAUAUAUAUAGGUGUGUUUCUUAUUGACCUAACAAAUACAAAGGGGUAGAAUGGUCAUUUACUUGCAUUCAGAUAGUUCACUAGGGGGUGAUGCUUUUUGACAUAGUACAUACAAAGGGGUGUUUCUUUUUGAAUUCAUAUGUACAGAAGGGUAAUAGGGUCAUUUACUCACAUUCACAUAGUUCAUCCAGUCAACAAAAUAGACAAAUACGUAGUUGUGUUUUCUUUUUGACUUAAUGCACUUAUUAAUAUGGCUAUUAUUAUUAUUAUUAUUAUUAUUAUUAUUAUUAUUAUUAUUAUUAUUAUUUAUUGCUAUAUGUUAAUGUUAUUUUUUUUAUUAAUAUAUAGGUUAAUUCGUUCGGAAUCUAACACAGCUGGAAGAAGGUCGUGGAUACUUUCAUUUGGACUUGGUUAUACAAAUAGGUUAUAUAGUUAGGGAAAACCUCUUAAUAGCAAUGUACAAUUAGGUCCCCUUAAUACCAAUGUAUUACAAUGUAUUGUAUUUUUGUAUGACAUUAAAUUUUAUGUAAUGGAUUAUAUUUUUUAUAUAUGAUAUAUUAUUUUCUAUUAUUGGACAUUAAAUGCAAAUUUAAUUUGAAAAUUAGUAAAUCCAUAAAUAAUUUUUUUUAACAUUUAAAAUUAUGAUACGCAAAAAUGUGUGUCAUCUUUAUUUAUGACAUGGCCUUUCUUGACAUGGGCUUUCUUGAUACGCAUUGCGUGUCAUAAACACGCGCGUCGUAAGGUUACGACACGCGAAUGCGUGUCGUCUUCCUUUAUGACAGGGCCUUCCUUGAUACGCAUUGCGCGUCGUAAACGCGCGUCGUAAUUGCGCGUCAUAAAUGCGCGUCGUAAAUGCGCGUCGUCUAUAGACGACGCGCAAAAGCGCGUCGUCUCUCUUUAUGACAGGGCCUUCCUUGACACGCAUUUGCGCGUCGUCUGAGCGUUUUACGACGCGCAAUGAGCGUCGUAAAAGGCCUUUUUUCUAGUAGUGAUCACAACUUAUUAAUGGAAGGGCACGUUCAAAAGCUCCAUUAAUUAACUAUACUAAAUAAAUUUCAAUAGUCAAUAUUCCUAAUAACAUCUUUCAUGCUAUUUUCAUAAUCUUAAGAUAUUUUAAAUUUAAAAACAGACAAUUCAAAAAUGAAUUUCAAUCAAAAAAUUUACUCGUUGUCAAUCUCAACAACUGUUUUCUAAAACCACCAUUUGAUCUCCCAUGACGGAAGCUGACCCACAAUACUCUGACGAAAGUUCAGCUUCAAAUGAUGUAGAAAUUAAAGACACAUCCACCAACAAAGAAACAAUCAAAUUUGUUAUGCUCGACAACAUUAAUGUAAUGGAGAUUAUUCUUGCAGAUAAAGAAUGGGCAGGUGUGUUCCCGUUUGAUAGCCCUGUUUAUUUUGAAAGAUUUUGUUAUCCUUAUGUUCGUAGGGGCAUUGGGAAUACAGAAUGAUGGACUCAGAAAGAUAGAGAAAUUAAGAAUAAAUUCAACAGUAAAAGUGCUCCAAAGGGGGACGUUGAAAAGAAGGAAUUCAAAUUGUGGAAGAAGAUAUGGGGGAAUGAACAAAAAGGCAAUGAUCUGGGUGAGGGUUCAAGUAAAUGACUUUUUAAUCUACUAUUACAUAUUUUUAUCUAUAUAGAUAAUGAUUUCUUACUAUAAGAAAUUCAGUGGUGGAUAAAGAAAAUAAUCAAAUACAAUGAUUCGUUCAUAAAUGGAUAAAACUGAACUAUAGUAUAUUUAGAUGUUAGUUGCUUUGAAAAUGAAAUAAUAAUGAAGUCGUUGGAAUAUCUAAUUUUGAAUUCAUGAUAUUUUAUAGACAAACUAAUAGAAUUGUGAGUGGUUCUUUAUUGAUGUAUGAAACUAAAGAUUUAUCUUGGCAAAAAUAAUUUAAUUGGUAUUAGAUUUAGAUUUUAAGGUUGUUUUGUUGUGUGUCUAAACCAUUAAUAAUCGUUUUAACUAUAAAAUUUAGAUCUGUUUUCCAAUUUACUAAUGUAAAAGCAUUACAAAUAUUAAUUUAAAAUAAUGAUUAAAUGUGGUGAAAUAUUUAAUUGAAAUCCAAUGGAUUAAAAUCAAUUAUAACGUUGGGUAUAUAGUUCAAACGACAAUUAAAUUGUGCAAUAGAAAAAAAUAAAACAUUUUUAAUAUAAAAUGCUAAAAAAUAUAUUUUUUUCAAAAGCAUGUAUUAUUAAGUUUUUAAGGAAAAUGAAGUUAUAAUGUUGCCACUAAACAUUUUUAUCUCUAAUCAAUUAAACAUUUUCAUGAUAAAAUUCCGAAUAAUAAAACAUUCCAAUGAUGAAAUUCCAAAGUGACCGUAAAGAAACCGGAAUAUUUGUUAUCUUUUUUUAUUUUUUUUACUUGAAAAUUUUGGUGUAAAAGUGUCAACCUUACCAGUUUGUUGUUAACUUUUUUUUUUUAAAAUCACAAUUUUAUCAUUACAAACCUUUUCUGCAACCAAACUACAAAGAUCAUUUAUGCAUGUCUUCUUCAAAAUCUUAUUCAAUUAUUAUACAUUAAUUCUUUUAAUUUUUUUUUAAUUUCCUUUUAUUAUAUCACUUUUUUUAAUUGUUUUAUUAUAUAUUAAUAAAUAUUAUUUUAAUAUAUAAUAUUUAUAUAUUAAUAAAUAUUACUUUAUUAGAUUAUUAAUUACCUUAUUUUUUUAAUUUAUUUUUUCAAUGGAUUAUUUAUUUUUUAUUCGAUUAUUAUAUAUUAAUAAAUAUGUAAUAUUUGUAUAUAUAAUAUUACUUUAUUGGAUUAUUAAUCUCUUUUAAUUUCUUUUUGAUUAAAUUAAGUUUUUUAUUGGAUUAUAAUUUAUUAAUAAUUAUCGUUUUUAAUAUACAGUAUUUAUAUAUUAAUAAAUAUUAUCUUUUGUAUUACUAUUUUUAAUUGUUUUUAAUUUUUUUAAUUGUUUUCUUUACUAUUUUAAAUAAAAAAAACCCAAAAAGAUUCCCCCCACCCCACAUCUCCUAAUUUAGUUUGAAUAUUUAGAAGAGAUUAUAUUUGGACACCAUCAACACCAUCACCCAGUUCAACAAUGAUGGGAUGAGUGAGAUUGUUUUUAAAUAAAUUAGAAUGGUAGUGGUGUUAUAAAAAAAUGAAUUAAUCCAUAAAAAUUGAAAUUCGAAAAAAAUAACCAAAAUAAAUUAAUAGUCUAGGUAAACCAACUCAUUUUCAUCAUCUCCAUCUUCAAAAUCUUCAUAUUCUUUGUCUUCCUCCCCAUAUCCCUCAUUCCCAUCAUUAGAUAUUUGGUCAUAUGUAUUUAUACUUGAGGCUAGGCACAAUCAUUUCGUACGAGUUACAGUAAGGGGUGACUCAAACUGCUUUUCAACCUGAAAGAUUUUAUAUGUUUCCAUUUCAGCUUCAGUGACUUCAAAUACCCCUCUUGGUUUUGUCUUGAUAACCGUCCACUUAUAUUUCGUCUAUUUUUUCAUUGAAGGGUAUGAUGUAUAAACAUUUGUUCUGCGUGUGAUGCCAAGGAAAAAGGGUCAUCAGUUUGAAGUCGAGAGUUGAAUUUGACAUCAAUCAACUUGUUUUUGUUGACUAUUACACCGUCUUUAUUAUCAAACCAAAUACAAUUAAACAAUACAACAGUCGAGAGUCCGUUGUCAUAAUACCCAAUCUCUAAGAUCUCUUAUAAUAUGUUCAACAUUAUAUGUCUCCCCCAUCACACAUACUCCAAAGAUAUUCAUUACACAACCGUCACCAUAUUGUUUGGAUUAAUUCUUUUUUGUACAACACCACCACCAUCCUAAUAUAUUUAAAAAAAAUCCCACUCAUCCCACUACUGUCGGACUAGGUGAUGAUGGUGAUGUUGUAAAAAAUAUGUUAUCUUCCAAAUAUUUAUAAUAAAUUAGGAGACAUGGGGUGUGUGAGAUUUUUUUGGGUUUUUUGAUUUAUUAAAAUAAAUAAAACAAUUAAAAGAAAUUAAAAACAAUUAAAAUAGCAAUACAAUAAAAUAAAAUUUAUUAAUAUAUAAAUAUUAUAUACUAAAAACAAUAGUUGUUAGUAAAUUAUAAUCCAAUAAAAAACAACUAAUCUAAUAAAAAAAAUAAAAGAAAUUAAUAAUCAAGUAAUAUUUUUUAAUAUAUAAAUAUAAUAUAUUUAAUAAUACAUAACAAUCCAAUAAAAAGAAAUAAUCUAUUAUAAAAGAAACUAUAAAAAUAACUAAAUUUAAUUACAAAAUCCAAUAAAGUAAUAUUUGUUAUAUAAAUAUUAUAUAUUAAAAAUAAUAUUUAUUAAUAUAUAAUAAAACAAUAAAAAAGUAAUCUAAUAAAAAGAAACUAAAACUAAAUAAUUGAAUAAAAUUUAAAAGAAGAGAUGAAUAAAUGGUCUUUGUAGUUUGGUUGCAGAAACGGUUCCUAGAGGUAAAAUUAUCAUUUAAAAAAGUUAAUAGCCAAAAUGUUAAAGUUAACAUUUUACAUCAAAAAUGCACAAUGUAUCUAAAAUUGGAUCACUUUUACACCAUAAAACAUUUUUGGACCAAAAUCACAUAACUUUGACAAUCAUAAGGACCAUUUUUGCUAUUUUAUCAAAAAAUAAUAAAAACCCCUCCAACAUGUAUCCCCCCUCCCGUCUUUUCUCUUUCUGUCAAAUAUCAAGCCGUCAUUUGGUGGUGUUUUUUCCACCAAUCUUGUUUUUUGGGUUAUAAUAUUUUUUCUUUGAAAAAUAAAUCUGAAAAAACCAAAGCUCUUAAAAUUUAAUAAUCUACAAAAUGAGCACAAUCAUGAAAAUUAAUAAAAAAAUGUUUUUUUUAAAAAAAACCCAGAAAUUUUUUUUUUCCAAAAAUCGUAAAAGUUUAAAGGAUACUUCUACUUAAUAUACUAGUGACUUUGUAAAAAGAAUUUUUCAAAAAUAAGUUUUUGAAGUAUUUAUUUUUAAAUUUAAGAAAUAUUAAUUUAAAAAAAUAUUGAACAUAAUAUGAUCCAAAAUGUGAUGAUUCAAAAUAUUUAUGAUUGCAAAAAAAAACUUUUGAUUCAACUUGUUUAUGAUUCUUAAUUUGUUAUUAUCUAAAAAUAUUUAGACUCAAAUAUUUUAUAUUCCUUAAUUAUAUCUUUUAUUAUUCAAUAUAUUAAUGAUCCAAAGUCAUAUGAUUCAAAAAUGAUUGGAUUCAAAAUAUUACGAUUCAAAAUAAAAUGAUUCAAAAUUUUAUAAUCCAAAAAUAAUGUGAUUCAAAAAGGUAUGAAAGGAAAAUAUUAUUAACCUUAAUAUUCUUCUUAUUUAAAAUUUUAUAAUUGUUAAACAUUAAAAAUUGAAACCGAUAUUUAGUUCAAAAAAUCAAAAAAAAAAACAAAACCAAAAAUAAAAAGAAACACUAGUAUCUUCAAGUAUGUAGUAAAUAUAUCAAAAAAACUAAANCGAUAUUUAGCAAAAAAUCAAAAAAAAAAACAAAACCAAAAAUAAAAAGAAACACUAGUAUCUUCAAGUAUGUAGUAAAUAUAUCAAAAAAACUAUANNNNNNNNNNNNNNNNNNNNNNNNNNNNNNNNNNNNNNNNNNNNNNNNNNNNNNNNNNNNNNNNNNNNNNNNNNNNNNNNNNNNNNNNNNNNNNNNNNNNNNNNNNNNNNNNNNNNNNNNNNNNNNNNNNNNNNNNNNNNNNNNNNNNNNNNNNNNNNNNNNNNNNNNNNNNNNNNNNNNNNNNNNNNNNNNNNNNNNNNNNNNNNNNNNNNNNNNNNNNNNNNNNNNNNNNNNNNNNNNNNNNNNNNNNNNNNNNNNNNNNNNNNNNNNNNNNNNNNNNNNNNNNNNNNNNNNNNNNNNNNNNNNNNNNNNNNNNNNNNNNNNNNNNNNNNNNNNNNNNNNNNNNNNNNNNNNNNNNNNNNNNNNNNNNNNNNNNNNNNNNNNNNNNNNNNNNNNNNNNNNNNNNNNNNNNNNNNNNNNNNNNNNNNNNNNNNNNNNNNNNNNNNNNNNNNNNNNNNNNNNNNNNNNNNNNNNNNNNNNNNNNNNNNNNNNNNNNNNNNNNNNNNNNNNNNNNNNNNNNNNNNNNNNNNNNNNNNNNNNNNNNNNNNNNNNNNNNNNNNNNNNNNNNNNNNNNNNNNNNNNNNNNNNNNNNNNNNNNNNNNNNNNNNNNNNNNNNNNNNNNNNNNNNNNNNNNNNNNNNNNNNNNNNNNNNNNNNNNNNNNNNNNNNNNNNNNNNNNNNNNNNNNNNNNNNNNNNNNNNNNNNNNNNNNNNNNNNNNNNNNNNNNNNNNNNNNNNNNNNNNNNNNNNNNNNNNNNNNNNNNNNNNNNNNNNNNNNNNNNNNNNAUAUCAAUGGUUGAACCUAAAUCCAUCAAAUAAGCCUUAGAACAUUCUGAUUGGAUUACAUCCAUGAAAAAAGAGCUAGCAGAAUUUGACAGAAAUCAAGUGUGAACUCUUGUCCCUUCUCCUUAGGAUCACCCUAUUGUUGGUACAAGAUGGGUCUUCUGAAACAAAUUGGACGACGUUGGAGUAUUAAUCCGAAACAAAGCGAGAUUGGUAACCAACGGAUUUACUCAGAUUGAAGGAAUUGACUAUGAUGAUACCUUUGCUCCCGUUUCUUGUCUUGAAGCUAUCUGAAUCUUUCUUGCUUAUGUUGCUCACAAAGGCUUUAAAGUUUACCAAAUUGACAGCAAUGGUGCUUUUCUAAAUGGUGAACUUGAUAGUGAAGUAUAUCUUGAACAUUCUCCUAGGAAACGUGUCCCCCUUGUAAAUACCAUUUAACUCAUUUCAUAUUUCAUUUUGAACUCUCUUAUUUCGGAACUCUCUCAUUUCGGAUUGCCAACAUUCUGGACACCACUAAAACUGAAAAUGUCUUCUGAUAGCAGUAAUGAGAUGCAUUUUUUUAUGUGUAAGUUUCCAUUAUGUUCAUAAUUAUAUGCCUUUAUUUUAGAUUAUAUGUUAAAACCUUUAUAAUUUAUGCAUUUAUAUAGGUAUUAUUUGUUAACGUUACCAUAUGCGACCACGUUAAAUAUGACGGAAAGCACUGACGGGACGUUAUAUCGCCAAGGCCUUGGUCAGGUCUCAGUCUUAUCCCGGACAAGCCAGCGUCAGUUCCUUGGUCGGAUCCUCUCAUUCUCUCAUGACCAAUUAGGUCAUGACAAAGAGCCUGAUGACGCCUAGAAUUGACGUCACUUGGCUGUUAGACGGCGUGAGCGUACUUCUCCUAGUAGGAAAGUGCCACGUCUCACUCCCACGUAGGGAGAGUUACCUAAUUCCGUUAGCAACAGGUAUAAAAGGAUCCUUUCCUUCCCAAGGAAGGUGACUAUCUUCUUCCCUAUACAAUUUUGCCUAAAUUUUUCUCUGAAAGAAAGUUAACUUGAUCGUCGGAGUGACGUCCUGGGAGAACCCCCGAUCGUCCUUUAACAAUUCUUCUGUGUUGUGUUCUCAGGUAAACCUCCAACACCAACUUGUCAACAAAUGACCAAUUCCCUGAAGAACCUAUCACAACAUUUGGCGCCAUCUGGACGUAUCCUCAGAGUGAUACAACCAAUAGACGAUGUUGGUUCUCUACAAAAGGGGGAUGUAAACUCAACAGCAACCGAGAUGGUAAAAGAAGAUCUGUUCAGAACACCGGUGAGUAAACAAGGAACAUCACCGCGAGUGUAGAACACAGGCCCCAACCCAGGUGCUAAUAGCACGACUCCUGCCAAUUACGAUAGAAAUAGCAGAGCUAGUACUCAAGAGCAGUUUUCGCAACUAUAUAUUAGCUGCCUCAAAUGGCGAUAACACAUCUCGAUUUGUUGCAAGAACCUCCGUAUGAUGGCAACGAGGUACUCACUAUCUCUAAAUCCAGUAAGAGAAAUACAACUCACCUAACGGAGGAUGAGAUAUAGGUACUCUCGAGAAAUCUACUCAAUAUCACUUUUUGAGUAGCAAUCCCAGGCUAUCGAACUGGGAUCCACGAGAUCCACUCUUCAUAUCUGGAUUCAUUUGCCAUAUGAAAAUCCAUCGGAUAUACAUCGACAAUGGUAGUAGCUCCGACAUACUCUACGAGCAUUGUUUCAGGCAACUACCGGAAGCAUGGAAGGAGGGGCUAAGGCCCCCAACUGAAGGACCAUUGGUGGGGUUCACCAGUCACAGCUUGUGGCCAUUGGGCACUAUCCGACUAUCUUUCACGUUGGUCAGUCAUGACAAAAGGGACAAAAUCACAAGAACAAUCGAGUUUUCUAUGAUUCGGUUUCCAGCAUAACAUAACAUUCUGCUCGGAUGAUCAGCAAUAUCCUUACUACAGCUCGUGCCAUCGAUGAUACAUGGCAUAGUUAAAUUUAGCACACGCCAAGGAUCAACAACAAUUAUUGCCACAAACACCAGGGCGCAGCACUGCAAUCAGAUCAUAGCUGCUCCUGAGUUGGUACGAGCUCCAAAAAAUUCGAAGGAGGAUUGUUCCACUUAACAACACCAGGUAAACACAGAAUACCCAGAACAACUUGUGCAAAUUGGUGCUCACCUAUCCGACGAGAUCAAGGCACGACUAGUAGCGCUUCUGAAGCAACGUGUGUUGAAUCAGCAGCAGACAGUAAGCGUCUUCUUUAUGGGCACUUUAUUCUGUCUCCGAUUAUGAAAGGUCAAGCAGACACAAUAGGCAUUGCUAUGUGAAGAGCUUUGCUUGGAGAAAUCGAAGGGACAUGUAUCACACGCGCAAAAUCUGAGAAAAUAUCACACAAAUAUUCUACCAUAAUGGGUAUUCAAGAAUCAGUACAUGAAAUUUUAGUGAAUUUAAAAGAAAUCGUAUUGAGAAGUAAUCUCUAUGGAACUUGUGAGGCGUCUAUUUGUGUCAGGGGCCCCGGAUAUGUAACUGCUCAAGAUAUCAUCUUACCGCCUUAUGUAGAAAUCCUCGAUAAUACACAGCAUAUAGCUAGCUUGACGGAACCCAUUGAGUUGGUUAUUGGAUUACAGAUAGAGAAGAAUCGCGGAUAUCUUAUAAAAGCGCCAAAUACCUUUCAAGAUGGAAGUUAUCCUAUAGAUCCUGUAUUCAUGCCUGUUCGAAAUGCGAAUCAUAGUAUUCAUUCUUAUGAAAAUGGUAACAAAGAGAUACUAUNAGCAAUAUUGUCAUAGAAAAGAAGAGGGGCCAGGCGGAAGACCGGAACAAGGCUAUAAAUGCAGAAGUAGCCAACCUAGUGAGUGACGACAUACUUAAGGAAGCAAUGUUCCCGACAUCGAUAGCAAAUCCCAUUAUGGUAAAGAAAGCCAAUGAGUCAUGGCGAAUGUGUAUUGACUACUCAGACCUUAAUAAUGCUUGUCCAAAGGAUCAUACCCCCUUCCGGAGAUAGAUCAGAAAGUCCAAUCGCUCGAAGGGUCUGGAUUCAAAUGUUUCCUUGACGCGUACAAAGGUUAUCAUCGAGUAUAGAUGAAACGAGAGGAUGAGGCAAAAACAACUUUUCACACCGAGAAGGGCACUUUCUGCUACCAGAAAAUGUCAUUUGGACUCAAAAACACGGGUGCUACAUAUCAGAGACUAAUGAACAAGAUAUUCGCUGAUCAAAUUGGUAGGAACAUCGAGGUCUACAUUGAUGACAUGGUAAUAAAGAGCCGUAACGAAGAAACAUUACUCCAUGAUGUGGAAGAGACUCUUAAAAUGCUAGCUAAAGUGCAGACGAGGUUAAAGCCAGCCAAGUGUACUUUCAGCGUAGAAGAAGAUCAAUUCCUUGGGUAUCAGAUAUCCAAGGAAGGAAUUCUGUCCACUCCCAUCAAAGUCCAAGAGUUCCUCAAGUCGAAAACUCCCCACAACCUCAAAGGUGUACAAGAGAUCAAUGGCCGGCUAACAACAUUAGGAAGAUUUAUUGCCAAAACAGCAGAAAAGGCGCUUCCCCUGUACCAAACCCUCAAAGGGUGCUUAGAUAAAAAGCAAUUCAAAUGGACAGGAAAGAGCACACGAAGCAUUACGACAACUGAAAGAUGCCUUACACCAGCUACCGACCCUCGCUUGCCCGCUACUAGGAGAAACGAUACAAAUGUACCUAGCAGCAUCAGAAGAAGCUAUCUCCUCCGUGUUGGCAGUAGAAAGGGAAGGCUAACAGAUCCCCAUCCACUUUGUAAGUAGGGCCUUGCAAGGGAAAGAGGUUAAUUACCCAGUCUUAAAGAAACUGGUCCUCGCCCUAGUAUACACUACCAGACGGCUACGACGGUAUUUCCAAGCUCACAAGGUGGAUGUCCUAACCAACUACCCGAUAAAGCAAGUUCUGUUAAUGCCGGAAAAGUCUGGAUGCCUGGCUAAGUGGGCCAUAAAAUUAGGCGAACAUGAUAUCAAUUACCACUCCUAACUAGCAUCGACGCCCAGGUUCUCGCAGAUUUCCUAGUCGAAAUACCAGAUACUAUCAAGGGAACACCAACGACAAUACUCUUCGAACCGUUGGAUCCUGAAGCCAGCAGAGAGCUUUGGAAAUUAUACACCGACGACAUAGCAAGUAUGGAAGGCUCAAGCGUAGGCUUGAUCCUUCAAAGCCCCAAAGGCGAAGAAAUCACUUACGCACUACGAUUCGAUUUCCAAGUAUCUAACAAUGAAGCAGAAUAUGAGGCACUCCUAGCAUGCCUGGGGUUAGCAAGGGAGGUUGGUGCAAAGCGAUUAGCAGCUCUCAGUGAUUCGUUACUUAUGAAGCCAAAGAUCCAAGGAUGCAGAAGUACCUAGAUGCAGUCUGCAUCUUAACAAGCAAGUUUCAAAACUUUUCAAUACAACAAAUACUCAUGGAAAAAAUACGAUGGCGGACGCUCUCAUCAAGUUAGCCUCAACUUCCUUUGAUCACCUAAUAAAGAAAGUGUUAGUCGAAGUGCUCCCAUUGAGAAGCAUUGAUAACCAAAAGGUUAAUAUAGUCUCGACUACCCUAGAAUGGACCAAACCAUACGUCGAUUACUUGCGCCACGAUGUACUCCCAGACGACUCGGCAGAAGCGAGAAAGGUCAAGGUCAGGGCAUCACAUUUCACAAUUAGAGACAACCAACUGUACCGAAGAGGGUAUUUAAUCCCAUGGAUAAAGUGAAUCUCUAAGACAGAAGGACAGGUGCUCCUAGAGGAAAGUCAUUCCAGAGACACAACAGCGCACGAAGGAGCUCGAGCACAUACGGCAAAAUAAUCCGCCUAGGAGUAUAUUGGCCAGACAUAUACAACGAGGCAGCAGCCCUAACCAAGAAAUGUAAAGAAUGUCAGGCAUUCACUCAUUUCCAGAAUCAACCGGCCAUGCCGUUGACCAGCAUCACCAGCAUCACAAGCCCCUGGCCCUUCCAUCAAUGGGGGAUUGACAUAGUGGGACCAUUCCCACCAGCGCAAGGGGGUGUGGAAUUCUUGGUAGUGGCUGUGGAUUAUUUUACAAAGUGGAUAGAGGCAGAACCAUUGGCCACCGUAUCGGGAAAGAAAAUGAUAAAGUUCAUGACCAAAAAUAUCUUAGCUCGCUUUGGCACACCCAAAGUUCUCAUAAGUGACAAUGACACACAAUUUGAAGGGAUCCCCCUCAAGGAGUGGUGUGAAAACAAGAAGAUCCACCGUUGGUUCACGUCUGUGGCGCACCCUCAGGCCAAUGGAAAAACCAAUAUAUCAAAUAGAACCAUAGUUAAUGGUUUAAAUAAAAGGUUACUCAGAUCAAAGUUUGCCUGGGUAGACGAGCUACCGACAGUGCAGUGGUCAUAUCAUACCACUACAAGGUCGAGCACGGGACAAACGCCAUUCAGCCUUACUUAUGGGAUGGAAGCAGUGCUCCCAUUUGAAAUAGUAGCUGGCUCAUUGCGAACAAACAAUUUCGAGGAAACAGCCAAUGAAUUAGGGCGACGCCAGGACUUAGACAUGCUACAUGAAAAAUGCGAGGCUGCAUAGAUGUGCCAAGCAUUGUACAAAUCGCGUACCGAGAACUAUUACAACUGCCAAGUCCGUGUCAAGAACUUCAAAAUUGGAGAAUGGGUGUUAAGGAAAAACGAGUCCAGCCACACCAAUCCAUUAGGAAAACUCAGCGUCACUUGGGAGGGACUGUACAAAAUUGCAGAAGCCUAUAAGAAUGGCGCUUACGUACUAGAAGCCCAAGACGGGCGUGCAAUACCAAUAACUUGGAAUGCGCAGAGCAUACGCCAUUUCUAGUCUUAAACGAGUGUCAAAGAUAAAUUAAAGGUCAGAAAAAGCAAUGAUUAUUGAUCUUGGAAUGUAAAAUUAAUCAGUAAGAAUUAGUUUACUAUUUCCAGUUUUGUGACACUCUAAAAAUAGAUAAAUUAGAAAGAAAAAAAUAGAAAGAGCAAUUCAGAUGCUCCUUAUUUUCAAGCUUGGAAAAUAAAAUAAAGAGGCUGUGUACAUUUACCAUGUGGCAACAAGGAUUAAUCAUCCAACGUCACAUGAGCGAAAUCGUUACAAGAAGGCAGCAGGGGGGUUAAAAAGGUUCAUAACCUUUCCCCCAAAACAUGUUCACCACACAUAUUAUAGCAAACUUUCCCAAAAACAAAUGUACAAAAAGAACAUGUAACAUAAGUGUAGAAUAGUCAAAACCUUCCACUGAUAAGAAAACCACAACCAGAUGAGCCUCAAUAUGAUGAUCUCGACUACACCUAGGGUCUUUAAGCAGGAAAUUAGAACAGUUUCCUCAAAGACAAGCAUGAGCAAAUCUCAAAGUGUUCACAAGUAAAAGGAUUCAGACCAUAUAUUUAAGAAAGCCAUGCACAAAUACUACGUGAUGGCCAACAUAAUUCAUUUACGAAACAAUAAAAAAAUAUGAUAACAGAAAAUAUUCAUAUUCAUAAAAUAAAAAUAAACAUUGUCAGUUGCUGGACUCUUGGACUUUUAAACUGCCACGAAGGGCAAAAAAGACAAAAAAAAACAUUGUUCACAAAAGCUGCAUAAACCAAAUUAAGAAAAUGUCACUACUUAUGAGCAAGGGCAGUACCAUCACCAGGUGGAGAACUUGGGCCAAGUACCAACUCAUCACUUUGAGCAUCCUGGCAGAGAACAUAGAACCCAGCCAAAUCGAUGUCGCCAAGACGAAGAUAGCCAUCAAAAAAGGUACUCUGAUUUUUAUAAAACAUAAACAAAAUCGGUCUUUUCUUGUCGUGAAAAUGGGGAUGUCACACUUGGUAUCAGAGCAUUAGUUUAAGCGAACUAUGAAUAUGGAUUUAUUACUAGACUCAAACUUAGAAAUCUAAGCGAUGAUCAUGAGAAGAGUGUCUAAUAUAUUUUAGGUAGUACACCUGAAUAGACACAAGCACUAGCUUAAUUAAGGAAAAUGCCUAACAUGCUUUUAUGUGCUAAAUGAUUUAUGAUAUGCAUUAUAUGAUCGAAUCUAUGGUCUGUUGCCGAACGGAUCUGGAAACUUUAUGUGCUCAGAUUUCUAAACAUUUGAUUACGGUAUUAAAACUGACAUGUAAAUUUUCGGAGUGAUAGGGAUAAUUACACGUCAAUCGUAAAUUAAUUCUUUUCUAUCUAAAUUUUCGUGACUCCACACUGAACGUCUGAUUUGGUGCAUAGAUCAACAUGGUGAGCACUAGAAGCGGAUUUGGAAGCGUUAACCCGCAACCCGAGCCACCAGUGAUUGAGCGUGUGCCAGAGGUAGCAACUGCACCCGAGACGAUCACGAUGGCAGGAGUACAUGCAAUGGUGCAGAUGAUGUUGGAUCGUCAGAUGGAAGAGACAAGACGAUUACUUCAACAAAAUAAGGACGAGCUUAUUGUGCUAGUACGCCAAAUUUUGAGGUAGCCAUCUGGGUUGGAAUUGUCAAGAAGAGGAAAUUUGAGGGAUCUUUAAGGUCCAACAGGAACAACGUGUUCUCACAGUUUGGAGGAGGAAGAGGUGAAGCAAAAUGGUGUAAUAAGUAUGGAAGGAAACACAACAGGAGAUGCCCUAAGGAAGUAACCUGCUUCAAAUGCGGGAAUACUGGUCACUAUGCCAACAAAUUCUCAACCAAGGACGAAGUUUGCCAUAAUUGUAGUGGAGAGGGACACUUCAAGCAAGAUUGUCCGAUGAGAGCUACGACGCCAAUUGUACCGCUGAAGCACUAUGUGAGAUACGAUGAGGAGGUGACUUUCUACAAAUGUGGAAAGAAAGGGCAUUACGCCAACAAGUGCACAUCCAAAAAGAGGGUGUGCUACGGAUGUAACAAAGAAGGGCAUUUAUCGAGGGACUGCCCGAAGAAAAAUGAAGCAGCAAGAGCGGAUGCACCUCUGAAGCCAAGAAGCAUCCUUAACAAAGCAUCUAACAAUACAAGGAAUCAGGAGUGAGGACAGAUAUCCGAGGAGCAAGUCACGAAGUAGUCAUGUAGAUAGUACUAUGUGGUGUACCCUAUUAGAAGCAUAGUAUAGCGUAAAGUUGAACGCCUAUGUAAUCGUUUCACGGAAUAAUAUUAAAACCUUCGUUUUGCUAUCUGAUGUGUUAAGUUGUUGUGUGAUUUACUAUGGUGACUUGGAAAACUGCGAGAAAAUACUUGGGACGAGUAUGAGUAGGUGUGAAUGGUAGUAGAGGCCUAUAUUACCGAAAGCACAAGACUCACACUUGGAUCAGGGAAAGUCACAAGGUUACCAAGAAGCUAGUAAUUGAUACCAUUUUAUUCAAGUAUGUUGUUACCAUUGUUUUAGUAUGACUAAGAAUAUGAUUGUCAAUCUGAACCUAAUCGUCAUAUCAAAUCGAGUCCGACUAAGAUGAGUAUGUUACAAGGAUUAGAGAACCAAGAUUGAUGAAGCAUUUGAUUUAAGCCAGAAGAUUGGAAUGAAAAAUAAACGAAGCGAUCAGUAGAAGUAUCGCGAUCACUGUUAAAGUAAGAAACUUGUAGCUAGAAGUGCUACAUACUAAAAGGUGAUUAUAUCACAUUAGGACAAGAAUGAAGUUAUCUUUAAGACUAGAAUUUGACUAUAAAAGACCUGAGUCUAAGCAUUGAACAUACGAUGAUAGAUCAUUACAAUCUGACACAUCGGUCCAUGGUAGUGAUCUUAAGAUUGUUAAGAAGAGAAGUCUCCAGUAUGGAUCGAGAUUGUGACUCAAAGGUUGUAAUUUGGAGUCCAACGUGAGAUAGGGAGCAGGUGCAAGAUCGAGCACUGCCUGCAUUUAUGGAGUCCAAGAGUUAGAUACUCGUUUGAAGCAACAUCAAAAUUAUGGUUAUUACUUAGGAUAAAUAGAUAACGAAUGGAGUCAUUAUGCGAGCCCUGUUUCGUUGAUGAUUCCGGAACGUAAUCAUCCUAAGGGGGAGAUAAUUGUAAUGCCCGUAGAUCCAGGCUAGUCAAUUUAUAGAUAAUAGAGGUCGAAAACGACUUUUCGACAAAAGAUUUUUUAGAAUAAAUAAUCUUAACCGAGUUGUAUAAUAUGUCUCAAGGGUUCUCUACGUAUAAAGAACGCUGAAAUCCGAGUUAUAACGAAGAAGUUAUGGCCCGUCGAAGUUUUUCGGCAACAACCGGCACGACACCAGGAGACGUAAAUAGUGAAUUUAUGAUAGAGGACUUUUUAUCCUUAGUGAUAUAAACAAAAUUUGUAGUAUACAUUAAACCGAGAACAUACAAAAAAAGAACACCCAAAUCUGACUUCGUAUGAGUAAGUUAUGAAUUUACUAAGAUUUGGCAUAGCAGUGCACGGCCUGAAACUCGAAUUUUAGUUCGAACAAUUUUUGGCUUAUGCAACCUAAAUGAGAAUUGAAGAUCUCAUUAAUAGUAACUCAACGGUAAAAAGACAGACAAAAACGGAGUCCGUAUGUAGAAGUUAUGAGUUUUACGCAGACAUUUAACAAUAUAAUCUCCUCUUACUAUUAAAUUUAAGAUCGGUGGAAAACUAGCCGACGGAGUCUGAAUGAAAGUUGUGGACAUUGUUUUUACCUACGCAUGGAUAUAAAUAACGUCAAAAACAUAGCUUGUAUGCGAAAGUUACGGGGUUUAGACGUCGACAGGGUGCUGUGCGAAAUCGGGUGACGUGGGUGAAUAUGGGCCAAGGCUUUCUCCCCAAGACAAGCCACCAGGUGGUGACACCUGGCCAUGGACUUGAAGAGUAGGACCUCCUACUCGACGAGUAGAGCAAGAUUCCAUCCUAUAAAUAGAGGUGUCGGGUUCCCUCAUUCUUCACACCUUCCCAUCUUCUCCUUCUCUCUCUAAAACUUCUCUAUAUCCCCCCUUAAGCCACCCUAAAGUCUAGGUAAACCCCCUAGCACCCGAAGGAAGCCCCGAGGCUCCCGGAGUCCCAAGAAAAGAGCCUUUCGACUAGGGAACGCUGCUCCAGCGAAGCCCAUUUUUCGAGAAAACCCGCUAUAAGUGAGCUAUGCCUACCCUAUCUUUAGUAUAGCUUAUGUUUUAAUAUAGUAACAUUAUUAGGGCCUUAAAAUAAUUAUUUGGGCUAUUAUUAUGAGUUAUAUAAGAGUGUUUCUUAAUGCUUAUAUAAUAGUAAUAAAAGCUAGACUAUUAAUUAGUCGCGUUUAAUGUUAGACUAAACCCUAGUGGUAUUGAUACUAGGUUUUGUCAUGGGAAAAUUGUUUUGAGAUAACGAAGUGCUGUCCGAGUACCGAGUCACCACCUUACCAAGUGAGUUCAUAGUUACUUUCAUAGUACACAUAGAUAUUAAGAAUUUAAUAUAAAUUAUGUGCUAUGUGUGAAUAUUAUCUAUAUACUUGCUAUCUAUGAUGGAUGAACAAUUUUAUACAUGUUUUAAAUGAUUUAAACUUUAUAUAUAUUUUAUAUCUACAUAAUAUGUUGGGUAAAACAUGGGUAGAUGAAAUAUGAGUUGGAUGAUGAGUUGAGAGGUGAUAUAGACCAUGAGGUAAGGGUGAGAGGUGGACGAUGUGAGAAGCCUUGUUUCCAAACGUCGGCCCCGUCAUCUAGCAGAGUAUGGAUGACAACCACGAACGAUUCUAGACACUCCAAUGGAACACUAGCAGGCUCGCAACCUGUAGGUGUUGUGAACGAUGUGUUCACCGUUGUACUCUAAAAACCCAUUGACAUGUGUUGCGAGUGGACUCUCGAAAAUGAUACUGUCAAUAAACGAGAUAAACCUUGGUGACUAUGGAGUUAGCGCCUAAUGAAUAAACCCGACAAGUAUGGGGUUAGCGCCUGUUGAGCAAACCUUGGUAACUAUGGAUUUAGUGCCCGGUGAGAAAACCCAGGCAACGAUGGAUUUUGUGUCGGUUCCUUAGGAUAAUUGUAACAACGUAGUUUUCAAAACAAAAUUUUCAUUUUUCAUCAACCAAGUUCAUAUAAAAAUAUUCUCAAAUAUUUCCAACAGUAGUUUUUGAAACAUAACAUAUCCCAAGAUCAUAAAAAUGAAACUUUCUCUCUAGUGUGUACGAGUCACGUCGGCGCCUUUCCACGGUCCUCGCUAGUACCUGAAACACAUAAGACAAUAACUGUAAGCAUAAAUGCUUAGUGAGUUCCCAAAAAUACUAUAUACAACACAUACGCCACUCAAGGCUAUAAUACGACCCUCAGGUCAAUGUGUCUCAGCGGGACCCUCCAGUCUCAUAGCUCGUUAGACCCUCUGGUCCGGUCAUAGCUCGUUGGGCCCUCCAACCUGGUCUGUAUCGUUGGACCCUUCGGUCCAGUCUUUAACAUCAUACAACAUACAUAUAACACAUACCACAUAAUCUCAUACAUAACACACAAGACACUCUGGUCAACGUAUAACACCACUCUAGGUGCGUAUAGUGAGAAGACUCACCUCAGGUGUCUCGGUAAGUCUCUGACUCGGUAGAAAUAUGAUCUAGCCUCCGCCUAAUCACAUAAAGUAAAUACUCUCAUAAAUAUAACUAUACUCAAACCUUUCUUAACACCCUUAGAAGGGUAAAAGACCAUUUUACCCCUCUCUUGGCUUAAAGGCCUCAUUGUUGACCAAACCCUAAAAGUCAACAAAAGUCAAUGGUCAAACUUUGACUCGACUUGUCAAGUGCACUUGGGCGACUCGGCGAGUCUACAUGUGUCCGCUAAUUCUUUAGUCCCGCUUGGCAUGUCGAGUUCCUCCCCUUGCUCGACGAGUCACCCCUAGCAUGAAUUGCGGGGCCACCCCGACUCAACUCGCCGAGUCUCAAGAACAACUCGGUGAGUUCCGCCUUAAACUCUAGUCCUCUAAUCCCCCUCUGACUCACUGAGUUAUUUCCCCAACUCCGCAAGUCUACACACUGAGUGGUUUACGGGAAACCCUAACCCUACUCGCCGAGUCUGAUCUUUGGACUCGGCGAGUUCAUGCCAUGCACAAACUCCAUAGACCUCCUGAGGUUAGAUGUGUUCCUUUAAUCCAUAGAUCUGACCUUCCCAAGCAUGAUAAUCACGUAAAGUUCAGACCUUGACAUUCAAAUAGCAUCUAGAUGGUCUUACAUGGUGUUUUAGUCCCAAAAUAACAUCCUAAGUUCAUGACUCCCAAAAUAACUGCAAAAAGCCCCAAGGGUUAAGGUCUCUGGACCUCUUUGAGUCCAGAUCCAAAGCAUGAACUUGAGAAAGGACCAAUUGCUCCACAAUUCCAUCCUCUAAAGGGGUUAGAAAACCCAAACUCUAGGAAUUAACACCAAAUAUGAAGAAGGUCCGAAAAAUACCUCAAGAUGAAGUCUAUGAGCUCUGAAAUCACCAGAAUCACACCUCCUUCAGCCUCCUCUUGCCUUGGUUUCCUCCUUCUUGCAAUUACACCAACAAAAUGAUCACAAAUGGCCUUUCCUUCAUCACAAACGCUCUAGAUCUCUUAGGGUUUCUCUCUGGGGUUUGGUAGCUGCAAAUGACGGCCCUAAGGGCCUUUAAAUAGGUCCAAAACCCAGGAAAUUAGGGUUUCAUUAAACAGCAUGGACUCGUCGAGUCCACUCAUGAACUCGCCGAGUCCAGCUGUGAACUCAGAUAAGAAUCCGUGACCAUACUCGGCGAGUUUAAACACCAACUCGCCGAGUCCCCUCUCAACUUCCAAAAAAAUAUAGGAAUAAAAUAUUAUACCUGGGAAUCCAGAUGUUACAAUAAUCCUUAGGAAUAAAUGAACGAUGAAUAGCUGAUUCUUAGGGUAGAUCCUUAAGAGUAAAGAAGAUAAUGGGGAUGGGUAAUUGGGUUGAUUGUUUGAUGUUUAAACAUAAUAAUUAUAUUAUUGUGGGUUGAAAACCCUAUGUACUCACCAGGUUUCCCAACCUGACCCACUCAGUUUAUAUGUAUCACAGGUGUCGAUAUGAAGCUACUUUACACUAAGGGAUUUAAAAGAGAUGUAGAUCACUAGUGUAAAUGAAUGUAAGUUUUGUUUAUGCUUAUGUUUCUAUAAUGACAAUUACAUUCCAAAUCUUUUAAAAUGGUUAAAAAUACAUUUCUUCGGAAAUGAUUUGAUAACGUAUUUAUCAUGUUUUGCUUGGAACAAAUUCCACAACAUUUUUAUUAAAAGAGGUACUCUGAUUUUAUAAAGCAUAAACAAAAUCGGUCUUUUCUGACCGUGAAAAUGGGGAUGUCUUUGUAUGCCUGUUGUACAUGUUGUUGAUAUGCUUUGAUUUGUUAAUCUAUGAACUGCAUGCUAGUUAGGGCUAAGGAUCGACUCAGUUUUUGCAUGAUGGAAUGCUAGGAGAGAUGCCUUUGUAUGCCUGUUGUACAAGCACGUAGACUUGCAUACUAGUACUGAUCAGUCUAUGAUAGGGUGGCCUGAUUAGGUUCUGCUUGGUUCUGAUACUUAAUGCUCGAAUGCUUCUUGCUUUGUGCUUUUAGGAGUUCUAACUAGAUUCAACUAAAUAGUAAACGAAUAUGCUAAGUUACAUAUUAUGGGAACUAAAUAAUUUUCGAAGAUUAGGUUUUAACUAUAUUGCGCAGCUCUUGUUUGAGUCCAACCGUUGUAGUGUGAGACCUCUCAUUCGAAGAAGUAUCUAGUUUUAGUGAUAUGUAAUGGUAUUCACGAGCUAUUUAGAGGAAGUUAGUAGGAGUUCCUUCUGCAGCUGAUGGCGGAGAGUGGCAUUGAGUUUUUCGUAGAAGGUUAACUUUUAAAUCUAUUGUGCAACUCUUGUAUGAGUCUAACCGUUGUCGUGUGAGACCUCUCAUUCAAAGAAUUAUCUAUUCUU